RNAcentral lists this long non-coding RNA (227 nucleotides) under Lathyrus oleraceus (garden pea). RNAcentral describes it as "Pisum sativum (pea) long non-coding RNA (PSAT_LNC023481)". Lineage: Eukaryota; Viridiplantae; Streptophyta; Magnoliopsida; Fabales; Fabaceae. The record is from RNAcentral.
AAAAAUAAUAAAUAAAAAAAAAUGGUGAUUAAAAAAAUAAUAAAUAAAAAAUGGCGAUGAACAAUAAAACAUAAGAGAGAGAAAAUAAAGAAUGAAAAAAAAACGUAAAACAAAAAGAAAAGAAAGAAAAAAACAUGAAAAAAAAAUAGAAGAAAGUAUAAAAAACAAAUAUGAAGGAAUGAGUUAAGAAAAAGUUGCAUGAGAGAACAGAGAGUUGCGUGAAAUUA